AUACGGAGGGUGCAAGCGUUAAUCGGAAUUACUGGGCGUAAAGCGUACGUAGGCGGUUCGUUAAGUUAGAUGUGAAAGCCCCGGGCUUAACCUGGGAACUGCAUUUAAAACUGGCGAACUAGAGUUGAGUAGAGGGGAGUGGAAUUUCAGGUGUAGCGGUGAAAUGCGUAGAGAUCUGAAGGAACACCAGUGGCGAAGGCGACUCCCUGGACUCAAACUGACGCUGAGGUACGAAAGCGUGGGUAGCAAACGGGAUUAGAAACCCUAGUAGUCC
This 274-nucleotide ribosomal RNA is filed under the name uncultured bacterium. Its description in RNAcentral is "partial 16S ribosomal RNA". It matches the Rfam family "Bacterial small subunit ribosomal RNA", at positions 523 to 796 of the family's 1533-position model. The record is from RNAcentral.